CGGCCACCUGAGCAGGUGCGGCCGAGCUUGUCCCUUCUGUCCUGGCUUUCUUCACUGACCCCGAAGUUGAGGCAUCUUUUCUCUUGUGGGUCUUGAGACCCUGGGCUAACCUCCGAGCCACGCCUGCAUCCAUGUCUGCAAUUAAAAAAAGAUCAACACGGAUCGGAGAUAGUAUAAGAGAAAGGGGAAGCAGCAAAAAAAAAAAAUGGUACCGACAGGGUUAAGAGGACUCAGGCCGACGUUGAACAAAAGUUGUUCCUUCAGAAGCUCGGAGAGGAGGGGGGCUUGAUAGGCCUUGAGCUUUUUGGAGGCUUCGAGGUCGUCCUUUUCC
Molecule: long non-coding RNA, 331 nt
Filed under: Elaeis guineensis (African oil palm)
Lineage: Eukaryota; Viridiplantae; Streptophyta; Magnoliopsida; Arecales; Arecaceae
Description: long non-coding RNA (EGUI_LNC055349)
Source: RNAcentral